GCUCAGGAUGAACGCUGGCGGCGUGCUUAACACAUGCAAGUCGAACGGAGUUUAAGGAGGAAGCUUGCUUUCAUUUUAAACUUAGUGGCGGACGGGUGAGUAACGCGUGAGGAACCUGCCCUUCAGUGGGUUUCAACAACUAGAAAUGGUUGCUAAUACCGCAUAAUGUCGGAGUACCGCAUGAUACACCGACCAUAAGGAUUUUAUUCGCUUUAAGGAUGGCCUCGCGUCCGAUUUUUAUAGUUGGUGAGGUAACGGCCCACCAAGUCUACGAUCGGUAGCCGAACUGAGAGGUUGAUCGGCCACAUUGGGACUGAGACACGGCCCAGACUCCUACGGGAGGCAGCAGUGGGGAAUAUUGGGCAAUGGAAGCAAUUCUGACCCAGCCAUGCCGCGUGCAGGAAGACGGCCCUAUGGGUUGUAAACUGCUUUUUCCGCGGAGUAACCGCCGGGACGUGUCCCGGCCUGAGAGUACGCGGGGAAUAAGUAUCGGCUAACUCCGUGCCAGCAGCCGCGGUAAUACGGAGGAUACGAGCGUUAUCCGGAUUCAUUGGGUUUAAAGGGUGCGCAGCGACGGUAGUCAGGGUGAAAUACUGCAGCUCACUGCAGCGUGCUUUUGAUUACUUGCCUGGACACUGGGAGUUCCACAGGGGG
This 654-nucleotide ribosomal RNA is filed under the name uncultured bacterium. RNAcentral describes it as "bacterial SSU rRNA". It matches the Rfam family "Bacterial small subunit ribosomal RNA", at positions 22 to 673 of the family's 1533-position model. The record is from RNAcentral.